GACGAACGCUGGCGGCGUGCUUAACACAUGCAAGUCGAACGGAAAGGCCCUGCUUUUGUGGGGUGCUCGAGUGGCGAACGGGUGAGUAACACGUGAGUAACCUGCCCUUGACUUUGGGAUAACUUCAGGAAACUGGGGCUAAUACCGGAUAGGAGCUCCUGCUGCAUGGUGGGGGUUGGAAAGUUUCGGCGGUUGGGGAUGGACUCGCGGCUUAUCAGCUUGUUGGUGGGGUAGUGGCUUACCAAGGCUUUGACGGGUAGCCGGCCUGAGAGGGUGACCGGCCACAUUGGGACUGAGAUACGGCCCAGACUCCUACGGGAGGCAUCAGUGGGGAAUAUUGCACAAUGGGCGGAAGCCUGAUGCAGCAACUCCGCGUGCGGGAUGACGGCCUUCGGUUUGUAAACCGCUUUCGCCUGUGACGAAGCGUGAGUGACGGUAAUGGGUAAAGAAGCACCGGCUAACUACGUG
This 468-nucleotide ribosomal RNA is filed under the name uncultured bacterium. Its description in RNAcentral is "partial 16S ribosomal RNA". It matches the Rfam family "Bacterial small subunit ribosomal RNA", at positions 28 to 507 of the family's 1533-position model. The record is from RNAcentral.